Molecule: long non-coding RNA, 424 nt
Organism: Corapipo altera (White-ruffed manakin)
Lineage: Eukaryota; Metazoa; Chordata; Aves; Passeriformes; Pipridae
Exons: 2
Source: RefSeq, a predicted model, not a curated record
UUCUCUGUUUUCCUCCUGCCUGAACACAGAGCCUGUAUAACAGCAGCAACAGAUGUUUCUCCCUAACUUCUCUUUGGUUUUGUGCUUCUCUUGCAGCAUCUCCUCCCAGUACUCCUCCGCCAUAUCCCCACACUCCGGCAGAGAUGUGGUGACAUCGUCCCGCCAGGUCCGCACGAUCGUCGAGGAGGUUCAGGAUGGGAAGGUGGUCUCCUCCCGGGAGCAGGUCGCACUCACCACUCGCUAGGAGGGCCAGUAGGACCCUCGACCCCAGGCUCAGGAGAGCAGUGAGCUGAGCCAAGCACUGCCUGAGGCCCUGGGUUGUGUCCCAGAAAGCUUCCUCCACCUCCUCCUCCUGCCUGUAUUACCCUCAUUCCAUGCAGGUGCCUCUGGACACACUUAAUAAAGCUUUUUCUCCUCGCUAGUG